This 562-nucleotide long non-coding RNA is filed under the name Mus pahari (shrew mouse). RNAcentral's name for it is "lncRNA (MGP_PahariEiJ_G0005376.1)". Lineage: Eukaryota; Metazoa; Chordata; Mammalia; Rodentia; Muridae. The record is from RNAcentral.
AGCAACUAAGUGAAGAAAGGGGCUUACUUCAGCUGCUAAAUCCAGGUUACUGCCCAUCAUUGUGAAGUCAAGGCAGUGCCAGGCAAGCCAGGCACAUCACAUCUGCUGAGAGACACAAAAUGGCUUACAAACAUACAUCCUCUGCCUGCUGUGGUAACGUCCGUUGACAUUUGGAGGUGUGGUCACAGUUGCGACAUUCCUGCUUCUGCUGCCCACUGAGAACUUAAGAACAGGACAUGGAGAGCAGUGGCAGGAAAGCAACUUAAGGAAGAAAGGAUAAUUCUGACUUGGCUCAGGGUAUGGUCCAUCGUGGCAGCGGGUUCCAGCUCCAACAGCUUGAACUCUUGUCUUCAUCAACUUUGGAAGCCGAUAGGACAAGAACACUUUUGCAUUAUUCAGGAGGGGAGGUGAAAUCUGAGAGGGACUGACCAUAGGGUUCCACGUUUGAGCAUUGUCGCCCAACUGCAAACAUCGAGUUGGAGACAAACACUUUUUUCCUCCCUUUCUAUGUGUACCUUCUGGUUGCUUUUAGAAUUUUUAUGCAUUUGUUGUGUGAUCCGGC